RNAcentral lists this ribosomal RNA (1050 nucleotides) under Leuconostoc mesenteroides. Its description in RNAcentral is "bacterial SSU rRNA". It matches the Rfam family "Bacterial small subunit ribosomal RNA", at positions 32 to 1064 of the family's 1533-position model. The record is from RNAcentral. Lineage: Bacteria; Bacillati; Bacillota; Bacilli; Lactobacillales; Lactobacillaceae.
UACCUAGGGGGGGCCUAUAAUGCAAGUCGAGCGCACAGCGAAAGGUGCUUGCACCUUUCAAGUGAGUGGCGAACGGGUGAGUAACACGUGGACAACCUGCCUCAAGGCUGGGGAUAACAUUUGGAAACAGAUGCUAAUACCGAAUAAAACUUAGUGUCGCAUGACACAAAGUUAAAAGGCGCUUCGGCGUCACCUAGAGAUGGAUCCGCGGUGCAUUAGUUAGUUGGUGGGGUAAAGGCCUACCAAGACAAUGAUGCAUAGCCGAGUUGAGAGACUGAUCGGCCACAUUGGGACUGAGACACGGCCCAAACUCCUACGGGAGGCUGCAGUAGGGAAUCUUCCACAAUGGGCGAAAGCCUGAUGGAGCAACGCCGCGUGUGUGAUGAAGGCUUUCGGGUCGUAAAGCACUGUUGUAUGGGAAGAACAGCUAGAAUAGGAAAUGAUUUUAGUUUGACGGUACCAUACCAGAAAGGGACGGCUAAAUACGUGCCAGCAGCCGCGGUAAUACGUAUGUCCCGAGCGUUAUCCGGAUUUAUUGGGCGUAAAGCGAGCGCAGACGGUUUAUUAAGUCUGAUGUGAAAGCCCGGAGCUCAACUCCGGAAUGGCAUUGGAAACUGGUUAACUUGAGUGCAGUAGAGGUAAGUGGAACUCCAUGUGUAGCGGUGGAAUGCGUAGAUAUAUGGAAGAACACCAGUGGCGAAGGCGGCUUACUGGACUGCAACUGACGUUGAGGCUCGAAAGUGUGGGUAGCAAACAGGAUUAGAUACCCUGGUAGUCCACACCGUAAACGAUGAACACUAGGUGUUAGGAGGUUUCCGCCUCUUAGUGCCGAAGCUAACGCAUUAAGUGUUCCGCCUGGGGAGUACGACCGCAAGGUUGAAACUCAAAGGAAAUUGACGGGGACCCGCACAAGCGGUGGAGCAUGUGGUUUAAUUCGAAGCAACGCGAAGAACCUUACCAGGUCUUGACAUCCUUUGAAGCUUUUAGAGAUAGAAGUGUUCUCUUCGGAGACCAAAGUGACAGGUGGUGCAUGGUCGUCGUCAGCUCCGU